UAUGGCCAUAUAUAAUAAUAUAUUGAUCAAUAUACAGGAGUCUCUGAUUGAAUCAUCUCAGCUCUCAUAUCACGUAUGACGCGCCUACGUCACGUCGUCACAACCUGAAGCUAAAGUGGCGAGAGAGCCGUCUCGGCUCGAGCGCGGUCCGGAUUUUAGCUCCACAGUGUCGCCAGCCAGACUCCCCACCACAGUGACACAAACCAACCAGCCGUCUCGAGAGGUUGCUGAAGAGGUAUGCAGCGAUGGUCUGGAGGAAAAAAUAGUCACAUGGACUGGUGUGCAUUCCAGUACUUGAAAUGAUGCUGUUGCUCAGGCACAUCCAGGUGCGAGGAUGGGGGAGAUCCGGAUGUCGCUAAAUAAAAGAAUCUGUGAACUGCUUCACCAAGAGAAAAAGAAGUCCAUGGACAGGCCUAUGAGCCCUCUUGUUGACCUUGAGUGACUGAGGCUGCGGGCGGUCUGCCCCUGAAUUCACCUUCACUUUCUUUUCUUUUAAAAAAAAAUAUAUCUGAAGGUGUGUGUGUGUGUGCGCGCGCGCGCGGGUGUGUGUGUGUGGGCGCGGGCACGCGUAUGUGUUUGUGUGUGUGCGCGUGUGUGUGCACGCGUGCAUGUGUGCCAGUGCUUUAUGUGAGGUGUUUCGCUUACCGGCCACAGCC
Molecule: long non-coding RNA, 656 nt
Organism: Engraulis encrasicolus (European anchovy)
Lineage: Eukaryota; Metazoa; Chordata; Actinopteri; Clupeiformes; Engraulidae
Exons: 3
Source: RefSeq, a predicted model, not a curated record